Molecule: RNA transcript, 1144 nt
Organism: Lycium ferocissimum
Lineage: Eukaryota; Viridiplantae; Streptophyta; Magnoliopsida; Solanales; Solanaceae
Gene name: probable ATP synthase 24 kDa subunit, mitochondrial
Exons: 8
Source: RefSeq, a predicted model, not a curated record
GCAGUUACUAGGUCAAUAUCAUCAAUAAGCCACCCCCAACACAGAGAGUGCUUUCCCCCAAUAGGUGAACCAACACUUCACUUGAAUAUCAACUCAGACCCCUAAAUUCAUCAUCAAUGGCACUUGCUUCUCGCUUACUCUCCAGAUCCACUCGCCAGUUAUGCGCUGGUCAGGUUGUUCUUCGACCCGAGCAUGCAGUUGCAGUUCGUUCCUUUGCCAAAGACGCUGCAGCUCCCACUGCACUGAAGGGAGAUCAGGUGUUGAAGGACAUCUUUUAUGAGGUUAAGAACAAGCUUGAGACAGCAAUUGGUGUCCUACGAAAGGAGAAGAUCACCAUAGAUCCUGAAGAUACUGCUGCUGUAUCUGAGUAUGCAAAAGUGAUGAAGUCUGUAAGACAAAAGGCUAAUCUCAUGUCAGAGUCUCAAAUUAUUAAGUUCAAUAUUGAAGUAGAAACACAUGAAAUUCCAGAUGCUCGCUCAUAUUUGCAGAAACUGAAGGAGAUGCGUGUCAAGAGGGGCCUUAUUGAUGCGCAAGGCAUAGAGGAUUUGCAGAUGGCAGCUUUGGAUAAGGUUGAGAAAGAAAUCAAAAAGCCACUAAUGAGGAACGACAAAAAGGGAAUAGCUCUUCUUACAGCUGAGUUUGAUAAGAUCAACCAGAAGCUUGGCAUUCGUAAAGAAGAUCUGCCCAAAUAUGAAGAACAGUUGGAGCUUAAGAUUGCGAAGGCACAAUUAGAAGAACUGAAAAAGGAUGCUCUUGAAGCAAUGGAAACUCAGAAGAAGAGGGAGGAGUUCAAGGAUGAGGAGAUGCCCAGUGUGAAGUCUCUGGACAUCAGAAACUUCAUUUAAAAAAUGAAAUUUGCUUCAAGGCUUAUUUUCCUUUUGCACCUUGUUGAUCUCCUGCUACCCUUGAACAUAAAUUUUACUAUCCCUAGAAGUGUAGUUGUAUCAGACAUCCAAGAGGCUGCCUUCUGAAUAAUAAGAGGUCUGACCAAGAAAUUAGCUUUUGUAUGCUUUUGGGGCCUGAGUAUAUCUUUGCUCCUCAUUUGUAACUGAUCUUGGUCAGUUGUUUUUUGCACUCUGUACUCGAUUUUAAUGAAAGAGAACUAAGAUGCGUGAUUGUAUUAAAUUUUCAAUUUCGAUGCUUU